Molecule: ribosomal RNA, 887 nt
Filed under: uncultured bacterium
Lineage: Bacteria
Description: bacterial SSU rRNA
Rfam family: Bacterial small subunit ribosomal RNA
Source: RNAcentral
AAGUUUGAUCCUGGCUCAGGACGAACGCUGGCGGCGUGCUUAACACAUGCAAGUCGAACGGUGAAGCCUUUCGGGGUGGAUCAGUGGCGAACGGGUGAGUAACACGUGAGCAACCUGCCCUUGACUCUGGGAUAACUCCGGGAAACCGGUGCUAAUACCGGAUAUGACGCACGACCGCAUGGUCUGUGUGUGGAAAGUUUUUCGGUCAAGGAUGGGCUCGCGGCCUAUCAGCUUGUUGGUGGGGUAACGGCCCACCAAGGCGACGACGGGUAGCCGGCCUGAGAGGGCGACCGGCCACACUGGGACUGAGACACGGCCCAGACUCCUACGGGAGGCAGCAGUGGGGAAUAUUGCGCAAUGGGCGAAAGCCUGACGCAGCGACGCCGCGUGAGGGAUGAAGGCCUUCGGGUCGUAAACCUCUUUCAGCAGGGAAGAAGCGAAAGUGACGGUACCUGCAGAAGAAGCACCGGCUAACUACGUGCCAGCAGCCGCGGUAAUACGUAGGGUGCAAGCGUUGUCCGGAAUUAUUGGGCGUAAAGAGCUCGUAGGCGGUCUGUCGCGUCUGCUGUGAAAACUCAGGGCUUAACCCUGAGCUUGCAGUGGGUACGGGCAGACUAGAGUGCGGUAGGAGAGACUGGAAUUCCUGGUGUAGCGGUGAAAUGCGUUGAGAUCGGAAGGAACGCCCGUGGCGAAAGCGAGGCCCUGUACCCUUACUGACGCUGAGACGCGAAAGCCAGGGGAGCGAACGGGAUUAGAUACCCCGGUAGUCCUGACCGUAAACGAUGAACACUGGUAGGGGCUCGCCGAUGGGCUCCCUGCCGUAGGGAAACUGUGAAGUGUUCCGCCUGGGAGUAUGGUCGCAAGCUGAAACUCAAACGAAAUUGACG